GACGAACGCUGGCGGUGUGCUUAACACAUGCAAGUCGAACGGUAAGGCCCUUUCUGGGCUACACGAGUGGCGCACGGGGGAGUAACACGCCUGUAACCUUCCCUCAUCUCUGGGAUAACAGUCCGAAACGGUUGCUAAAUCUGGCUAUGAGCUUGCGAGGCAUCUUGUGGGUUGGUAAGAUUUUUUGUGGUUGGGGAUGGAUUCGCGGCGUUUCAGCUUGUUGGUGGGGAAGUGGCACACCAAGGCUGCGACGGAUAUCCGGCCUGAGAGGGCGGAGGGCCGCAUCAGGACUCUGAGACGGGCCAAAGUCCUGCGGGAGGCAGCAGUGGCGAAUAUUGCACACUGGACGGAAGUCUGAUGCAGCAACGUCGCGUGCGGGAUGACGGCCUUCGGGUGGUAGAACGCUCUGUAAGGUGACACAGCGUUUUUGUGACGUUAGCAGUAGAAGAAGCACCGGCUAACUACGUG
This 468-nucleotide ribosomal RNA is filed under the name uncultured bacterium. RNAcentral describes it as "partial 16S ribosomal RNA". It matches the Rfam family "Bacterial small subunit ribosomal RNA", at positions 28 to 507 of the family's 1533-position model. The record is from RNAcentral.